Molecule: long non-coding RNA, 648 nt
Organism: Monopterus albus (swamp eel)
Lineage: Eukaryota; Metazoa; Chordata; Actinopteri; Synbranchiformes; Synbranchidae
Exons: 2
Source: RefSeq, a predicted model, not a curated record
GAAAUCUGUAGCUGAAGAAGAGAUGAGCUGAAUCUGCUGCCAUUAGCCUAAUGUCACUCUAUUGACAACCAGGGGGAGCAGCUCAGAAACAGUCCUGACUUCAUAAAGCAACUGCUGCUGUGUGACUGAAUCAUCUGAGAUCUGAUGCCACGGACCAAGAAAUGGAGACCAGGAUUCCAAAUUGACUUCCAACAUGCACCAGAUGGGCGAAGCAAACAUCGGAAUGACGGAGCAGCAAUACAUUUACUUUUCAUGCUGUUCUAUCUUUGACCAAUGCUUACACUUGCAAAAUUUACCUGAGUGACAUAGUGCAAGACUGCAGAGUGUAGGAUGAAAAAAUCAGAAUACACAGACAUGAAUCUGGAAUUGUUCAUCUUUAUUAUGAGUUUAACUAGAGGGGAGCUCAAUGUUGGUUGGUAAUGUAUGCAUUUUGCUGUUGUAAUCUUAAAUAAAACGCGCACACACACACACAGCAGUUAAGUAGUGGAAGUUUCCUGUCUGCAGACAGCAUUCCUGGACCUGACUGAUCGACACCAGGUGGAAUCCUGCAAAGCCAGAAGCAUCAUCUCAGCACACUACCAGAAUUGUGGUGUUGUUGUUUGAAUACAAGACUAUACAAAUAUACAAGGCUUUAGGAAAUUAACAUUG